Myotis lucifugus (little brown bat) is the source of this 1098-nucleotide long non-coding RNA. RefSeq lists it as uncharacterized. Lineage: Eukaryota; Metazoa; Chordata; Mammalia; Chiroptera; Vespertilionidae. The record is from RefSeq and is a predicted model, not a curated record. The transcript has 2 exons.
UCCCUCAUCCAGUUGGUUCUUGAGAAAACAGUACAUGGGAAGUAAAAAGAAAAAAGUAAAAACUGCAUAUCUUUAUUGUAUCUUCAAAUUUGAACAAUAAUUUGGCUCAGACCAAUUUCCAUGGAAUGUUGUCUCCAUUAUCUUCUCUCUUCCAAUGGCACUUCUUGAGAAAUUUGAUGUUAUUCUUAUUCCUUUCCUUUGUGAAUGCCCUGUUUUCCUCUCGGGAAGCUUUCAGGAUCUUCUCUUUAUGCCUGGCUCUGGAGUUGGGGAGUAGGGGAUGCUAUACAGUACCUAGAUCCCCCUUCAGAAAUGCAGGACUUACUCCGCCAGCUUCUGGGAAUGCUGCUAUGACCUUCAGCUGUCAGCUGUCUUUGGGGAACACCUUAGCUGAAGAAGUACCAGCCUGUACACAACUGACAAUGCGGUGGUCUGAAGACCCAGCUCCCUCACCUCAAUUGGCAACAAUUCUGAAGGCCCAACCAGCUCUAUAGCUCCCUAUGGGUGGUCACCUGAGGUAUUCACUGGGUCUGCAUCAGAGUCCAACUUCUUCCUCUGACCAGUCCUGUUUCCUUCCCCUUCCUUCCACAGGUGUUGAUCCCAAGAGCACUCUAGUAAGUGUCCUGCCUGCAACUCUCCAUCUCAGAGUUUGCGUCCCUGAGAAUCCAAUUUGCAGCUACAAGGUGCCUUGCUGACAAGCCAUUUUGUUCCCGUGGGAGAAUGCUGCAAUCAGUGGACAUUGUGGCUUAUGGCUUCAGAUACCAUGGCACCCACUCAAAUGAAAGCUGAACAUUUCUGCACAAGAGGUUCUGGUAAAUAUUGGGAGAGAAACAAUUGGAGAGAGAGAGAGAGAGAGAGAGAGAGAGAGAGAGAGAGAAAAGGAAGGAAGAAAGAAAGAAAGAAAGAAAGAAAGAAAGAAAGAAAGAAAGAAAGAAAGAAAGAAAGAAAGAGAAAGAAAGAUUCUGUCUAAUGGUUUUCAUUUCUGACAAAGAUUUUGUAUUUAACUCUAUUGCCAGCAAAACUCGUGUCAUAUUGGGAAGAUUCCUUCUCUCUGGGCCGCAAUUUUUCCUUUGUACAAAUUAAAGGGUUAAAAUAAAUAAA